GGUUGUGGCUCAGCGGUAGAGCACUCACCUAGCAGGUGAAAGGCCCUGGGUUCGAUCCUCAGCACCA
Molecule: transfer RNA, 67 nt
Filed under: Marmota monax (woodchuck)
Lineage: Eukaryota; Metazoa; Chordata; Mammalia; Rodentia; Sciuridae
Description: tRNA.Ala
Rfam family: tRNA
About the family: Transfer RNA (tRNA) molecules are approximately 80 nucleotides in length. Their secondary structure includes four short double-helical elements and three loops (D, anti-codon, and T loops).
Source: RNAcentral